RNAcentral lists this ribosomal RNA (429 nucleotides) under Chloroflexota bacterium. RNAcentral describes it as "Chloroflexi bacterium partial 16S ribosomal RNA". It matches the Rfam family "Bacterial small subunit ribosomal RNA", at positions 355 to 776 of the family's 1533-position model. The record is from RNAcentral. Lineage: Bacteria; Bacillati; Chloroflexota.
UGGGGAAUAUUGCACAAUGGGCGCAAGCCUGAUGCAGCCAUGCCGCGUGUAUGAAGAAGGCCUUCGGGUUGUAAAGUACUUUCAGUCGGGAGGAAGGUGGUAAGGUUAAUAACCUUAUCAAUUGACGUUACCGACAGAAGAAGCACCGCCUAACUCCGUGCCAGCAGCCGCGGUAAUACGGAGGGUGCAAGCGUUAAUCGGAAUUACUGGGCGUAAAGCGCACGCAGGCGGUUGAUUGAGUCAGAUGUGAAAUCCCCGGGCUUAACCCGGGAAUUGCAUCUGAUACUGGUCAGCUAGAGUCUUGUAGAGGGGGGUAGAAUUCCAUGUGUAGCGGUGAAAUGCGUAGAGAUGUGGAGGAAUACCGGUGGCGAAGGCGGCCCCCUGGACAAAGACUGACGCUCAGGUGCGAAAGCGUGGGGAGCAAACAGG